GGGGAUGUGCUGGAACUGGCAGACAGGCAUGACUUAGGAUCAUGUGCCGCAAGGCAUGCGGGUUCGAUUCCCGCCAUCCCCA
Molecule: transfer RNA, 82 nt
Filed under: Chloroflexota bacterium
Lineage: Bacteria; Bacillati; Chloroflexota
Description: Chloroflexi bacterium (groundwater metagenome) tRNA-Leu
Rfam family: tRNA
About the family: Transfer RNA (tRNA) molecules are approximately 80 nucleotides in length. Their secondary structure includes four short double-helical elements and three loops (D, anti-codon, and T loops). Further hydrogen bonds mediate the characteristic L-shaped molecular structure. tRNAs have two regions of fundamental functional importance: the anti-codon, which is responsible for specific mRNA codon recognition, and the 3' end, to which the tRNAs corresponding amino acid is attached (by aminoacyl-tRNA synthetases). tRNAs cope with the degeneracy of the genetic code in two manners: having more than one tRNA (with a specific anti-codon) for a particular amino acid; and 'wobble' base-pairing, i.e. permitting non-standard base-pairing at the 3rd anti-codon position.
Source: RNAcentral